AUCUUGAUUCUUCACGGAUUUGAUUUCCAGUUGAGUCCUCUUCGCUGAAUCAGUCAUGGUCAUUAUAAACCUAUCUUUGUCAAUUCCAUUCUCAUGCUCGGGUGUUUGGUCUCGGAUACACCAGGAUAUGAGCUCUAGUCCCUGACCAUUCCUCUGUAGAUACCAAUACAUAAAGUCGUGGUCUGUCGUCUGAGUGCAGUUCAUGUGUACAUCGGAAUCUAACUUGUGCAUAAGUACUCU
Molecule: non-coding RNA, 240 nt
Organism: Pelobates cultripes (western spadefoot toad)
Lineage: Eukaryota; Metazoa; Chordata; Amphibia; Anura; Pelobatidae
Source: the annotation of a GenBank genome assembly